GACGAACGCUGGCGGCGUGCCUAAUACAUGCAAGUCGAACGCAGUGGGGACGGGGUAGUAACACGUGGGUGACCUCCCAUCAGAGGGGAUAAAACUUGGAAACAGGUGCUAAACCGAUACUGAUGGAUGUACCCGGGGGGGAUUAGCUAGUUGGUGAGGUAACGGCGCACCAAGGCCACGAUGCAUAGCCGGCCUGAGAGGAUGACCAGCCACACUGGGACUGAGACACGGCCCAGACUCCUACGGGAGGCAGCAGUGGGGAAUCUUCGGCAAUGGGCGAAAGUCUGAACGAGCAACGCCGCGUGUAUGAAGAAGGUUUUCGGAUCGUAAAGCACUGUUGUUAGAGAAGCGUUAUCUAACCAAGAAGCCACGGCUAACUACGUGCCAGCAGCCGCGGUAAUUC
Molecule: ribosomal RNA, 403 nt
Filed under: uncultured bacterium
Lineage: Bacteria
Description: partial 16S ribosomal RNA
Rfam family: Bacterial small subunit ribosomal RNA
Source: RNAcentral